CUGCUGCUCCAGAGGGAAGACUAUUCCUCCGAUGUUCAUGUUGCUGCAAUGGAGCAUCACAGCUGAGGUUAAUUCUCUGCAACGCGAACAAAUGGGACCCAUCCUGCUUCAUGUCUGAUCUCACAUUAUACCAGGUGUUUAUUAAUACACAGCUAGUGGAUGGAUGCAGUACAGGAGGUUCUGGCCUAGCUGGACUGGUCUCCACCUGAGCCUCUCUCACCUCAUUGUAUCCAGUACUGAACAGCUGCUAAUGACCGGUCCAGUCAAGAGGAGAACCACAUAAUCCGCACAUCAUUUAUUCAAGCAGUAUCGGGUUCUGCUGCGGCCGCAGGACGACGACGAUCCGACAGAACAGACGCUUCCUGCUUUCUUGUUUAAAUUUGUUAACGGUGUUUAUCGAUGAUCAGGCUUCAGAAGUGGGCCUGGUCCGCGAGGACGAAACCUUUUAUGUAUUUAAUGUUUAAUAAAUGUGCGCGCGUGCGCCGCGCUGC
Long non-coding RNA from Betta splendens (Siamese fighting fish), 491 nucleotides. RefSeq lists it as uncharacterized. The transcript is spliced from 2 exons. Lineage: Eukaryota; Metazoa; Chordata; Actinopteri; Anabantiformes; Osphronemidae. The record is from RefSeq and is a predicted model, not a curated record.